GCCCAUGAGCAGAAUUCCCUUUUGCAAAAGCUUUAUAAUAAAGCUCUUAUAUAUUGUUCACGUGUCUCCAGUUUUUAUUAAAAUUUUUUCUU
Pseudonaja textilis is the source of this 92-nucleotide non-coding RNA. NCBI's taxonomy places the organism in Eukaryota, Metazoa, Chordata, Lepidosauria, Squamata, Elapidae. The record is from RefSeq and is a predicted model, not a curated record.